AUCCCCUGUCGGCCUUUUGGGCUGCAGGGGAU
This 32-nucleotide small RNA is filed under the name Paenibacillus sp. P22. RNAcentral describes it as "Pseudomonas sRNA P4". The record is from RNAcentral. Lineage: Bacteria; Bacillati; Bacillota; Bacilli; Caryophanales; Paenibacillaceae.